AGGUGCUUUUUCAACUGAGGAGGGAGAGGGGAGUGGUGUAUCUGGAGCGGGGGAGACAGCAGGCUGACCGACCUAUCCUGAAGCAGAGGGAGGGGGGACACCCCCCAGCUCUGCUCGGCACAGCAGUCUCUCCCGAAUCAGCCCACUCUGCCUGCGGUACUGUGAUUCCUUCCGAGUUCCGGGAGCAGCAUCCUGAGCAGCUCUGUGAGCUCUCUGUGCUGAGGAAUGUCAAAGCAGCACAGCAGUCCUGUCGUCUGUCCCCCAGCAAGCCACCAGUGUUCCUAGAACAGGAUCGGUUUACCGGAGGAAGCUGCUAGCUAGUGGAACAGAUAAAAGCAUGAAAGCCUCAAGGACCACCUCCCAAAUUGCCUGUUCAAUAGUGCAGUCCUGCUGCCAUGUCUCCUCCAAGCCCUCCCUGUGAACCCUGCACUGCACAAGUCCUCAAGCAAGCUGAUUCUCACCAAAUAAAUAUAGUCAUGUCUUUGAAAUAUUA
This is a long non-coding RNA of Malaclemys terrapin pileata, 493 nucleotides long. RefSeq lists it as uncharacterized. The transcript is spliced from 2 exons. Lineage: Eukaryota; Metazoa; Chordata; Testudines; Emydidae. The record is from RefSeq and is a predicted model, not a curated record.